UCACUGGGCAUGUGCUCGUUCCAUCUAUUUAUCUUCUCUUGUGCACAUCUUGUGGUCUUGAAUUGAAACCUCUCGCAUUCGUGCGGUUUGGGAGUCUGAAUAAACUCUGCUCCUGCUUCGUUCAAGAUCAUGUUUUCAUAUACACUAUAAAGUUACAGAAUGUCUUUUAACGAUUGCGCAAGCAGUCAUUAAACCUAUACAACUUUCAGCAACGGAUCUCUUGGCUCUCCUAUCGAUGAAGAACGCAGCGAAAUGCGAUAAGUAAUGUGAAUUGCAGAAUUCAGUGAAUCAUCGAAUCUUUGAACGCACCUUGCGCCCUUUGGUAUUCCGAAGGGCAUGCCUGUUUGAGUGUCAUUAAAUUAUCAACCUUGCUCGCUUUUACUAGCUUGAGUUUGGCUUGGAUGUGAGGGCUUUGCUGGCUUCCUUCAGUGGAUGGUCUGCUCCCUUUAAAUGCAUUAGUGGGAUCUCUUGUGGACCGUCACUUGGUGUGAUAAUUAUUUAUGCCUUGAGACUUUGAAGCAAACUAAUGGGAACCUGCUCAUAACCGUCUUCGCCCAAUCUCUGACAKUUGACCUCAAAUCAGGUAGA
This 588-nucleotide ribosomal RNA is filed under the name uncultured Entoloma. RNAcentral's name for it is "eukaryotic LSU rRNA". The stretch from base 201 to 354 matches the Rfam family "5.8S ribosomal RNA". The record is from RNAcentral. Lineage: Eukaryota; Fungi; Basidiomycota; Agaricomycetes; Agaricales; Entolomataceae.